AACGCAUCUUGCGCUCAUUGGUAUUCCAAUGAGCACGCCUGUUUCAGUAUCAGAAACACCCCACAUUCAAAAAAAUUUUUUUUUUAAAUGGAAUUGAGAGUUUACUGUUAUUUCAACUGUUCUCUUUAAAAAUAUUAGGCCUGAAAUUUUAGUUUUUUUGUUGCCUGAACUUUUUUUUUAAUAUAAAGGAAAAGCUCUGGGUCAAUUUUUAAUAAAAGCUUAUUAUCUUGGGGCCUCCCAAAUAAAUCAUUCUUAAAUUUGAUCUGAAAUCAGGCGGGAUUACCCGCUGAACUUAA
Molecule: unclassified non-coding RNA, 296 nt
Filed under: uncultured Mucor
Lineage: Eukaryota; Fungi; Mucoromycota; Mucoromycetes; Mucorales; Mucoraceae
Description: sequence contains ITS2
Source: RNAcentral